UACCNAAGGAUAGUAGUAUUCCACUGGU
Molecule: transfer RNA, 28 nt
Filed under: Diadophis punctatus modestus
Lineage: Eukaryota; Metazoa; Chordata; Lepidosauria; Squamata; Dipsadidae
Description: partial tRNA-Leu
Source: RNAcentral